RNAcentral lists this ribosomal RNA (584 nucleotides) under uncultured bacterium. Its description in RNAcentral is "partial 16S ribosomal RNA". It matches the Rfam family "Bacterial small subunit ribosomal RNA", at positions 355 to 1375 of the family's 1533-position model. The record is from RNAcentral.
UGGGGAAUUUUGGACAAUGGGCGAAAGCCUGAUCCAGCAAUGCCGCGUGUGUGAAGAAGGCCUUCGGGUUGUAAAGCACUUUUGUCCGGAAAGAAAUCCUUGGCUCUAAUACAGUCGGGGGAUGACGGUACCGGAAGAAUAAGCACCGGCUAACUACGUGCCAGCAGCCGCGGUAAUACGUAGGGUGCAAGCGUUAAUCGGAAUUACUGGGCGUAAAGCGUGCGCAGGCGGUUUGCUAAGACCGAUGUGAAAUCCCCGGGCUCAACCUGGGAACUGCAUUGGUGACUGGCAGGCUAGAGUAUGGCAGAGGGGGGUAGAAUUCCACGUGUAGCAGUGAAAUGCGUAGAGAUGUGGAGGAAUACCGAUGGCGAAGGCAGCCCCCUGGGCCAAUACUGACGCUCAUGCACGAAAGCGCGGGGAGCAAACAGGAUUAGAUACCCUGGUAGUCCACGCCCUAAACGAUGUCAACUAGUUGUUGGGGAUUCAUUCCUUAGUAACGUAGCUAACGCGUGAAGUUGACCGCCUGGGGAGUACGGUCGCAAGAUUAAAACUCAAAGGAAUUGACGGGGUCAUAGCUGUUUCCU